GCCUGUCUCAGUUCGGAUUGGAGUCUGCAACCCGACUCCAUGAAGCUGGAUUCGCUAGUAAUCGCGCAUCAGCCACGGCGCGGUGAAUACGUUCCCGGGCCUUGUACACACCGCCCGUCACACCAUGGGAGCCGGUAAUACCCGAAGUCAGUAGUCCAACCACGUGAGGACGCUGCCGAAGGUAGGAUUGGCGACUGGGGUAAAGUCGUAACAAGGUAUC
Molecule: ribosomal RNA, 220 nt
Filed under: uncultured bacterium
Lineage: Bacteria
Description: partial 16S ribosomal RNA
Rfam family: Bacterial small subunit ribosomal RNA
Source: RNAcentral